UUUUUAAAGACUUUUCUUUUUUGGUCCUUUAAAAAAAUUCAAGGAAAGUUUUUAAUUAAUUGGGGCGAUUUUUAAAUUUUUAAAAACUUUAGAAAUGUAUUAUUGGAUCCAAUAUUAUUGAUAUUUUAAAAAAAAUACUCUAGGGAUAACAGCGUUAUUACUUUGGAUAGUUCAUAUAGAUAAAGUAGAUUGCGACCUCGAUGUUGGAUUAGGAUACCUUUAUUGAUGAAGAAGUUAUAAAAGGAGGUUUGCUCAACCUUUUAAUUCCUACA
RNAcentral lists this ribosomal RNA (272 nucleotides) under Ornithodoros porcinus porcinus. RNAcentral's name for it is "partial 16S ribosomal RNA". The stretch from base 145 to 272 matches the Rfam family "Bacterial large subunit ribosomal RNA", at positions 2473 to 2600 of the family's 2925-position model. Lineage: Eukaryota; Metazoa; Arthropoda; Arachnida; Ixodida; Argasidae. The record is from RNAcentral.